RNAcentral lists this unclassified non-coding RNA (253 nucleotides) under uncultured Polyangiaceae bacterium. RNAcentral's name for it is "contains 16S-23S intergenic spacer region". It matches the Rfam family "Bacterial small subunit ribosomal RNA", at positions 524 to 776 of the family's 1533-position model. The record is from RNAcentral. Lineage: Bacteria; Pseudomonadati; Myxococcota; Polyangiales; Polyangiaceae.
GACAGAGGGUGCAAACGUUGUUCGGAAUUACUGGGCGUAAAGCGCGUGUAGGCGGCUUGGCAAGUCGGAUGUGAAAGCCCUGGGCUCAACCUAGGAAGUGCACUCGAAACUGCCGAGCUCGAGUUCUGGAGAGGAAGGCGGAAUUCUCGGUGUAGAGGUGAAAUUCGUAGAUAUCGAGAGGAACACCGGUGGCGAAGGCGGCCUUCUGGACAGCAACUGACGCUGAGACGCGAAAGCGUGGGGAGCAAACAGG